This 776-nucleotide ribosomal RNA is filed under the name uncultured Neocallimastigales. RNAcentral's name for it is "partial large subunit ribosomal RNA". It matches the Rfam family "Eukaryotic large subunit ribosomal RNA", at positions 23 to 616 of the family's 3401-position model. Lineage: Eukaryota; Fungi; Neocallimastigomycota; Neocallimastigomycetes; Neocallimastigales. The record is from RNAcentral.
AGAGAGAGACAUGCGCGCAUAUCAAUAAGCGGAGGAAAAGAAACUAACUAGGAUUCCCUCAGUAACGGCGAGUGAAGCGGGAAGAGCUCAAAUUUGAAAUCUUCAAGGUUCUACCUUGACGAAUUGUAGUUUAAAGAAGUGUUUUCUGUUGGAGUUUUGGUAAAAGUUCUUUGGAAUAGGACAUCAUAGAGGGUGAGAAUCCCGUAUUUGACCUUUACUUUCAACUUUGUGAUACACUUUCAAAGAGUCGGAUUGUUUGGGAAUGCAGUCCAAAAUGGGUGGUAAAUUUCAUCUAAAGCUAAAUAUUGGCGAGAGACCGAUAGCGAACAAGUACCGUGAGGGAAAGAUGAAAAGAACUUUGAAAAGAGAGUUAAACAGUACGUGAAAUUGUCAAAAGGGAAGCGUUUGACACCAGUGUUGUUUUUCUGAAAAUCAAUUAAAGAACUGUUUAUGCUAAGCUUGUUUAGACUUUAUCAGCUAACUGUUUAGUUUUGAGCUUUUCUUUAAUGCACUUUUCAGUUAACAAGUCAACAUCAAUUUCUUUUGCUGUAAAAAAGCUUGAGGAAGGUGGCUUGAGAUUCGUCUUAAGUGUUUAUAGCCUCUUGCCUAUGCAGUCGGAGAGAUUGAGGUCUGCAGCGUAGAUCCUUCGGGGCUAAAUGCAUUUGUGCUAAGUUAUAACAUUUUAUAGACAACUUGUUGACUAUGAUUUGUCUUGUAGCUUACAUCGCUUAUGUUAUUUUACCUACGCUUAGGAUGUUGAGCGCAUGUCUCUCUCU